AAUGAUGAGGAGCUUGCUCCUCUGAUUUAGCGGCGGACGGGUGAGUAACACGUGGGUAAUCUGCCUGUAAGACGGGGAUAACUCCGGGAAACCGGGGCUAAUACCGGAUAAUAAGAGAAGAAGCAUUUCUUCUUUUUGAAAGUCGGUUUCGGCUGACACUUACAGAUGAGCCCGCGGCGCAUUAGCUAGUUGGUGAGGUAACGGCUCACCAAGGCGACGAUGCGUAGCCGACCUGAGAGGGUGAUCGGCCACACUGGGACUGAGACACGGCCCAGACUCCUACGGGAGGCAGCAGUAGGGAAUCUUCGGCAAUGGGCGAAAGCCUGACCGAGCAACGCCGCGUGAGCGAUGAAGGCCUUCGGGUCGUAAAGCUCUGUUGUUAGAGAAGAACAAGUACGAGAGUAACUGCUCGUACCUUGACGGUACCUAACCAGAAAGCCAC
Molecule: ribosomal RNA, 442 nt
Filed under: Fictibacillus nanhaiensis
Lineage: Bacteria; Bacillati; Bacillota; Bacilli; Caryophanales; Fictibacillaceae
Description: bacterial SSU rRNA
Rfam family: Bacterial small subunit ribosomal RNA
Source: RNAcentral